Molecule: ribosomal RNA, 665 nt
Filed under: Helvella nigra
Lineage: Eukaryota; Fungi; Ascomycota; Pezizomycetes; Pezizales; Helvellaceae
Description: eukaryotic LSU rRNA
Rfam family: Eukaryotic large subunit ribosomal RNA
Source: RNAcentral
AAUCCGGGGCACCCAGCCCCCGAGUUGUAAUUUCGAGAGGCAUCUUCUGGGGGGAGCGUCGGCCCAUGUUCCUUGGAACAGGACGUCACAGAGGGUGAGAAUCCCGUGCAUGGCCGGCUGCCCCCUCCGCCGUGAAGGGCCUUCGACGAGUCGAGUUGUUUGGGAAUGCAGCUCCAAGUGGGUGGUAAAUUUCAUCUAAAGCUAAAUACCGGCGGGAGACCGAUAGCGCACAAGUAGAGUGAUCGAAAGAUGAAAAGCACUUUGAAAAUAGAGUCAAAAAGUACGUGAAAUUGUUGAAAGGGAAGCGCUUGAGACCAGACUCAGGCCCAGGCAAACACCGAUCCCCUCGGGGCCGUGCAAUUGCCUGGGCCUGGGCCAGCAUCAGUUGGCGUGGCGGGACAAAGGCACGGGCAAUGUGGCUCCCCUCGGGGAGUGUUAUUAGGCCCGCGCUCAAUGCCGCCGACGUCGACUGAGGACCGCGCCUCGGCUAGGAUGCUGGCUUAAUGGCCUUCAGCGACCCGUCUUGAAACACGGACCAAGGAGUCUAACACCUAUGCGAGUGUUUGGGCGUCAAACCCUUGCGCGCAAUGAAAGUGAGCGGAGGUGGGAACCCCUCCACGGGCGCACCAUCGACCGAUCCUGAUGUCUUCGGAUGGAUUUGAGUA